Molecule: ribosomal RNA, 342 nt
Filed under: uncultured bacterium
Lineage: Bacteria
Description: bacterial SSU rRNA
Rfam family: Bacterial small subunit ribosomal RNA
Source: RNAcentral
GCGUAGAUGUUAUUAUAAGUUAUUAGUAGAAAAUAGAAGCUCAACUUCUGGCGGCUAAUAAUACUAUAAUAAUUGAGGGCAGAGGAGGUUGACGGAAUUCUGUGUGGAGCGGUGAAAUGCUUAGAUAUACAGAGGAACACCAAAAUAGGCGAAGGCAGUUAACUAUUCUGUUCCUGACAUUGAGGCAUGAAAGCGUGGGGAGCAAAACGGAUUAGAUACCCGUGUAGUCCACGCCCUAAACGAUGAGUAUUAGGCACUGGGCUUUAGCUCAGCGUCACAGCUAACGCGUUAAAUACUCCGCCUGGGUAGUACGAUCGCAAGAUUGAAACUUAAAGGAAUUGA